Oryza sativa Japonica Group (Japanese rice) is the source of this 1568-nucleotide long non-coding RNA. RefSeq lists it as uncharacterized. The record is from RefSeq and is a predicted model, not a curated record. Lineage: Eukaryota; Viridiplantae; Streptophyta; Magnoliopsida; Poales; Poaceae.
CAUGCCUCCUGUCAUGUAGUUAAAACUGACAUCAAGGACCACGAUGCUGCUUGAUGACACCAGUUCCAGCGGUAAGCCACCGGACAGCAAGUUGUGGGACAAGUUGAGGCGCAUCAGACCUGUGAGAUUGCCAAGGGAAGGUGAUCCCUUCCCAUGCGCAGCAGUCCGUGCCAUUCUUCCAUGACAUGCCCAGGCCACCAUCCUUCGAGAGCCCAGUGAGAAACUGGAUGAGUGAGUUCCUCUCUUGCUCGGUGCAAGAACUGGUGGGAGAGGCCAAGAAGAGCAGCAGCACAAGAGCAUGGCCAAGGUAAGUCAUGUGAAAUCUGUUUUUGUGGUUCUUGUUGGAAAAAUGGAGGGGCUGCAUAGUUUUCUCCAUAGGCUAGCAUCGGAGCCAAUAGUCUGAUGAAGAAGGAACAUGAUAGGAAGGGAACAAACAGUUGCCAUCUCUUCUUUGUUUGAUCAUUCAAGUCAUAGUCACCAAAUUUAUGAGUCAGGAUUAAGAUCUUAUUGACUAAUUGCAGCAUCGCUUUCUAAGUUAACUAUUCCCCACCCGCCACUACAGUUUAUUGGAAAAACACAUCCUUUUUUUUUUGGCGAAAAGAAGGGACCUCACAGAUUUGCAAGAUCGGAUUGGUGAGGUACAUGACAAACAACAUCAUUCAGAAAAAGAAAAGGAGCACAUGUUUUGAAGCAGUCAUCGAUGUCAAGAUCCACAUGUGUACGGGCAUGGAAAGAACGGAUUAAUGGAGGAAAUAUUUCCCAGGGCUCUCUCGUUGACCCUGAGGCGUUUACUUUUCUUGCCGUUGUCAGCAUCAAAGCUUUGGUUUUGGUUAACAUCUAAGUUGCAAAUGGCAAUUGGUUUACGAUGGUUUUGGCCUUUGGACUGCGACUCUUGAAGUCUAGAUUAGCAGCAAUGCUGGACCAGACUGCAGCAUCAUUAGAGGGGCUGAGAAUCGAUUAGUCAGGUUAAUGGCAGUGUUCAUGUGAUCAUUAGCUGGUAUUUCAGUAACCAGCAAAAAGAUUGCUUGCAUUUGUCUUUUCCUUUGGCAGAUAAGGAGUACUUCUGAUGUUGAUAGAAUAUGCUGUUUCUAUGGCUAUGAUAAUGUCUGUCAAAUACAAAUGCAGAAGGGCACAAGUGGCUAUCAUUAAAAAUCAAAGUUACAAGGAGUUAAAAAUAAGUUUCAGGAAAAUGAAGGCGGCAGCAAGAAUUGACCGUACUCUUUUCAUUUUUAUCUAGUACUUCCUCCGUUUUAUAAUGUAAGGGUUUCUAACAUUAACCACAUUCGUAUAGAUGUUAAUGAAUCUAAACACAUAUAUUUAUAUGAAUGUGGGUAAUACUAGAAAGUAUUACAUUAUGAAACGGAGGGAGUGUAAAUUUUGUCUGUAACUAUCAGUAUGUUCUUUUGCCGGGUCGGCCGAACGAGGCAGACCAAAUUUCAUUAUGGUAAAGGAGAAUGUAAAGAACUAUAAGCAUAUUCCAGCAUGUCAGGUAAUGACCAAACAAGAAAAAUGCUUGUAUGGAAGAUAUUAUAUCAGCUUUUGGUCCGUCACUUUCACAGAUCGGUUUA